RNAcentral lists this ribosomal RNA (432 nucleotides) under uncultured prokaryote. RNAcentral describes it as "partial 16S ribosomal RNA". The record is from RNAcentral.
CCCUAUGGGGUGCCAUUUCAGCAUGGUCAUGGGGACUGAGCCGUGCGAUGGAUUAUUUCGCCCCGGAUCCGCAGAUUGAUGCAGGGAGAGUUGCAUUGUUCGGUGUAUCACGUCUGGGUAAAACAGUUCUAUGGACAGGAGCCCGUGAUACCCGUUUCGGAAUGGUCAUUGCCAGCUGUGGUGGAGAAGGAGGAGCUGCCAUAUCAAGGAGAUGGUAUGGAGAGACCAUCGAUCACAUGACCCAUCCCACAAGAUACUUUUAUCAGUUUGCCGGCAACUGGAGGAAUUUUAAGGACGAUCCGUCUGACUCACCUGUCGACGGACAUAUGCUGGUUGCAUUGAUGGCACCAAGACCAUUAUUAUUACAGACCGGGGAUACAGAUUACUGGUCUGAUCCGAAAGGAGAAUUUAUUGCAGCUGUGGCGGGAGGGC